This 612-nucleotide unclassified non-coding RNA is filed under the name Meloidogyne fallax. Its description in RNAcentral is "partial intergenic spacer". The record is from RNAcentral. Lineage: Eukaryota; Metazoa; Nematoda; Chromadorea; Rhabditida; Meloidogynidae.
AAGGAUUUGAAUCUUAUAUGUAUAAGAAGUAUCUGAGGACAUUUUGUUGCAUUUUGUCCCAUUAUGGUGCAGUGACAUUUUGUCCCAUUAGGGUGAGUGACAUUUUGUCCCAUCAAGGUGUAGUGACAUUAUUUCCCUUCAAGGUGUAGUGACAAGUUGUCCCAUUAGGGUGCAGUGACAUUUUGUCCCAUUAAGGUGUAGUGACAUUUUGUCCCAUUAGUGUGCAGUGACAUUUUGUCCCAUCAAGGUAUAGUGACAUUUUGUCCCAUCAAGGUGUAGUGACAUUAUGUCCCCUCAAGGUAUAGUGACAUUUUGUCUCAUCAAGGUGUAGUGACAUUUUGUCCCCUCAAGGUGUAGUGACAUUUUGUCCCCUAUGCUACACUGGCAUUAUGUCCCAUCAAGGUGUAGUGACAUUUUGUCCCAUCAAGUUGUAAUGACAUUAUGUCCCAUCAAGGUGUAGUGACAUUUUGUCCCUCCAACGUGUAGUGACAUUAUUUCCCCUCUACCCCAACUGGCAUUAUUUCCCCUGUGCUACACUGGCAUUAUUUCCCCACAACCCCAACUGGCAUUAUGUCCUUUCAAUUACUUUAGAAAGAAGAAAUUUGAGUGAAA